This 357-nucleotide ribosomal RNA is filed under the name Triticum aestivum (bread wheat). RNAcentral describes it as "partial small subunit ribosomal RNA". The record is from RNAcentral. Lineage: Eukaryota; Viridiplantae; Streptophyta; Magnoliopsida; Poales; Poaceae.
AUGGGCUGCGCAGGAUCCACCCCCAAGGGCGCUGCGGCCGCCGGAGGCGAAGCUACGAAGAAAGUCAGGAAGCCUAAGCCCUGGAAGCACCCCCAGCCGAUCACAAUUGCCCAGCUCAGGCAGAUGCGUGAUGAGUUUUGGGACACAGCUCCUCACUAUGGUGGUCGGAAAGAAAUUUGGGAUGCCCUUCGUGCUGCGUCAGAGGCUGAUGUAGCCCUUGCACAGGCAAUUGUGGAAAGUGCGGGCGUAAUUGUUUCAAAUGCUGACCUGACUCUAUGCUAUGAUGAAAGAGGUGCUAAAUAUGAACUGCCGAAGUAUGUUUUGAGUGAGCCAACCAACCUGGUCCAAGACAGUUGA